This 492-nucleotide ribosomal RNA is filed under the name uncultured bacterium. RNAcentral describes it as "partial 16S ribosomal RNA". It matches the Rfam family "Bacterial small subunit ribosomal RNA", at positions 29 to 507 of the family's 1533-position model. The record is from RNAcentral.
AGUGAACGCUGGCGGUAGGCCUAACACAUGCAAGUCGAACGGCAGCACAGUAAGAGCUUGCUCUUACGGGUGGCGAGUGGCGGACGGGUGAGGAAUACAUCGUAAUCUACUUUUUCGUGGGGGAUAACGUAGGGAAACUUACGCUAAUACCGCAUACGACCUACGGGUGAAAGCAGGAGAUCUUCGGACCUUGCGCGAUUGAAUGAGCCGAUGUCGGAUUAGCUAGUUGGCGGGGUAAAGGCCCACCAAGGCGACGAUCCGUAGCUGGUCUGAGAGGAUGAUCAGCCACACUGGAACUGAGACACGGUCCAGACUCCUACGGGAGGCAGCAGUGGGGAAUAUUGGACAAUGGGCGCAAGCCUGAUCCAGCCAUACCGCGUGGGUGAAGAAGGCCUUCGGGUUGUAAAGCCCUUUUGUUGGGAAAGAAAAGCAGCAGGUUAAUACCCCGCUGUUCUGACGGUACCCAAAGAAUAAGCACCGGCUAACUUCGUG